RNAcentral lists this ribosomal RNA (372 nucleotides) under uncultured bacterium. Its description in RNAcentral is "bacterial SSU rRNA". It matches the Rfam family "Bacterial small subunit ribosomal RNA", at positions 527 to 896 of the family's 1533-position model. The record is from RNAcentral.
GGGGGGAGCGAGCGUUGUCCGGAAUUACUGGGCGUAAAGGGCGUGUAGGCGGUUUAAUAAGUCAGAUGUUAAAGCUCCCGGCUCAACCGGGGAACGUCAUUUGAGACUGUUAGGCUUGAGUGCGAGAGAGGGUAGUGGAAUUCCCAGUGUAGCGGUGAAAUGCGUAGAUAUUGGGAAGAACACCAGUAGCGAAGGCGGCUACCUGGCUCGCAACUGACGCUAAGGCGCGAAAGCGUGGGGAGCAAACAGGAUUAGAUACCCUGGUAGUCCACGCCGUAAACGAUGAACACUAGGUGUUGGUUUGCCGUAGGCUGAUCAGUGCCGCAGUUAACGCAUUAAGUGUUCCGCCUGGGGAGUACGAUCGCAAGGUUG